UCACGUAAUGGCCUACCUCCUCUUUCCCAAAACAGGAGCCACAUACCAACCUCUCAGCAGGGUGGGUUGGGGCCACAAGACUUAGGGCCUACCUCUCCUCGGUGGCCAAUGACAUUUAAAGAAAACAGUUGACUGCGUCUGUGAAGAUGUCAUAACGUGGAGCUUCCCUGGGAGAAAAUAAUUUGGGAAGGGAGGGAGACAUUACUGAUAUCUUUAAAACACAGAGUGUUCAAAAUGAGAGAACCACGUGCUUCUCUCCAUACCACUGGGGUGGUUUUGGUGCCCGUUUUUGGUGUGCAUUGUGGGUCUUUGUGGGGCCUGUGGUAACAACUCAUGAUUCAUCAACUACAAGUUACCAUCACAAUUUCCAAGUCAUUGGGAAGUAUUUCAUCCCCCAGAGCGGCACUUUUCUCCAUCAGCAAGAGAAUCAAAAGGAAGUGGGAACAUCUGGCUCGAUAUGAAAGCCUGAGAGUGCCCCGACAUACACAGGCUCCGGAGAAGUCGGCCCCUUGCAGAUACUGGAAAGCAAAGCUCAGUCUACCUUCGCCAGCCACAGUUUCCAGCAUCGCUUCCAAAAAUCAAUGUCGUAUAUUUUCUGGCGGACCCACUUCUAAGUGAUUGGAUUCUAGCACACUCCAAUCAAGCAUCAGCUUUGGUUCUUAUGACGCAGUCACUAACAUCACACACGACCAAAACAGCAGGGCGCUCUCUCAAGUCUCCUCUUACUGUGCCAUCGUGGGGAACAGUCUCAUAGCAUGAUAUGGAGCUGGAGAGGAGGGGAGAGGAGAACAGAAGGCAAGGUGGGAAAGGACACCUGGCAGAGACAACAUCUGGAUCCUGAACCUGGAGGAGAAAUCCACUUAUAUCUCACUUUAGAUUUGCCAGCUGCUUUUAUUUUUAUUUGGACUUACAGAAAGGUGAGGCUGGGUGUGGUGUCUCAUGCCUGUAAUCCCAGCACUUUGGGAGGCUGAGGCAGGUGGAUCACGAGGUCAGGAGAUGGAGACCAUCCUGGCCUACAUGGUGAAACCCCGUCUCUACUAAAACACAAAAAAAUUAGCUGGGAGUGGUGGUGUGCGCCUGUAGUCCCAGCUACUCAGGAGGCUGAGGCAGGGGAAUCACUUGAACCGGGAGGCAGAGAUUGCAGUGACCUAAGAUCACGCCACCACACUCCAGCCUGAGCAACAGUGAGACUCCGUCUCAAAAAAAAAAAAAAAAAAAAAGGAAGGAAGGAAGAAAGAAAGAAAGAAAGAAAGAAGGAAAGAAAGAAAGAAAAAGAAAGGUAAGAGGCAAGAGGAUUGGGGAAGAAUUCUCCAUGUAUAGUGACCAGCCUUGAAAAACAGAAUUAAUACCUGCUGUUGGAGAAAAGGGCAGGCAAACUUAAUGCCCAUCAUAAAAGAUUUGGGUUCUCUGAGCUCAGGGAUCUCCUCCUAUAAUGCAAGUCACUAUGUGAAUAAGUGUCAUCUGGCCUUCUUCACACGCCCUAUGGAAACUGGGGCUCAGGACAGAUAUGAACAACUGCUGAUACUCUGCCUAUUGCUAUUGCUGUUGAGAAGAAAAUACGGGAGUGAACUGUAGCAAUAAACGGUUUGUGGGUAAUUUUAGUAUUUUAAUGUGGCUUCUAAAAUGUGUACUACA
Long non-coding RNA from Gorilla gorilla gorilla (western lowland gorilla), 1635 nucleotides. RefSeq lists it as uncharacterized. The transcript has 3 exons. NCBI's taxonomy places the organism in Eukaryota, Metazoa, Chordata, Mammalia, Primates, Hominidae. The record is from RefSeq and is a predicted model, not a curated record.